Molecule: ribosomal RNA, 253 nt
Filed under: uncultured bacterium
Lineage: Bacteria
Description: partial 16S ribosomal RNA
Rfam family: Bacterial small subunit ribosomal RNA
Source: RNAcentral
UACAGAGGUCCCAAGCGUUGUUCGGAUUCAUUGGGCGUAAAGGGUGCGUAGGUGGCGCUGUAAGUCGGGUGUGAAAUUUCGAGGCUUAACCUCGAAACUGCAUUCGAUACUGCGGUGCUUGAGGACUGGAGAGGAGACUGGAAUUUAUGGUGUAGCAGUGAAAUGCGUAGAGAUCAUAAGGAAGACCAGUGGCGAAGGCGGGUCUCUGGACAGUUCCUGACACUGAGGCACGAAGGCCAGGGGAGCAAACGGG